CCGGCGAUGUCCGAAUGGGGAAACCCAGUGUGAUUCGUCACACUAUCGUUAACUGAAUACAUAGGUUAACGAGGCGAACCGGGGGAACUGAAACAUCUAAGUACCCCGAGGAAAAGAAAUCAACCGAGAUUCCCCCAGUAGCGGCGAGCGAACGGGGAGCAGCCCAGAGUCUGAAUCAGCUUGUGUGUUAGUGGAACGGUCUGGAAAGUCCGACGGUACAGGGUGAUAGUCCCGUACACCAAAAUGCACAGGCUGUGAACUCGAAGAGUAGGGCGGGACACGUGGUAUCCUGUCUGAAUAUGGGGGGACCAUCCUCCAAGGCUAAAUACUCCUGACUGACCGAUAGUGAACCAGUACCGUGAGGGAAAGGCGAAAAGAACCCCGGCGAGGGGAGUGAAAAAGAACCUGAAACCGUGUACGUACAAGCAGUGGGAGCACCUUCGGGUGUGACUGCGUACCUUUUGUAUAAUGGGUCAGCGACUUAUAUUCUGUAGCAAGGUUAACCGUAUAGGGGAGCCGCAGGGAAACCGAGUCUUAACUGGGCGUUAAGUUGCAGGGUAUAGACCCGAAACCCGGUGAUCUAGCCAUGGGCAGGUUGAAGGUUGGGUAACACUAACUGGAGGACCGAACCGACUAAUGUUGAAAAAUUAGCGGAUGACUUGUGGCUGGGGGUGAAAGGCCAAUCAAACCGGGAGAUAGCUGGUUCUCCCCGAAAGCUAUUUAGGUAGCGCCUCGUGAAUUCAUCUUCGGGGGUAGAGCACUGUUUCGGCUAGGGGGUCAUCCCGACUUACCAACCCGAUGCAAACUACGAAUACCGAAGAAUGUUAUCACGGGAGACACACGGCGGGUGCUAACGUCCGUCGUGAAGAGGGAAACAACCCAGACCGCCAGCUAAGGUCCCAAAGUCAUGGUUAAGUGGGAAACGAUGUGGGAAGGCACAGACAGCCAGGAUGUUGGCUUAGAAGCAGCCAUCAUUUAAAGAAAGCGUAAUAGCUCACUGGUCGAGUCGGCCUGCGCGGAAGAUGUAACGGGGCUAAACCAUGCACCGAAGCUGCGGCAGCGACACUAUGUGUUGUUGGGUAGGGGAGCGUUCUGUAAGCCUGCGAAGGUGACCUGUGAGGGUUGCUGGAGGUAUCAGAAGUGCGAAUGCUGACAUAAGUAACGAUAAAGCGGGUGAAAAGCCCGCUCGCCGGAAGACCAAGGGUUCCUGUCCAACGUUAAUCGGGGCAGGGUGAGUCGACCCCUAAGGCGAGGCCGAAAGGCGUAGUCGAUGGGAAACAGGUUAAUAUUCCUGUACUUGGUGUUACUGCGAAGGGGGGACGGAGAAGGCUAUGUUAGCCGGGCGACGGUUGUCCCGGUUUAAGCAUGUAGGCUGGUUAUCCAGGCAAAUCCGGAUAAUCAAGGCUGAGGUGUGAUGACGAGGCACUACGGUGCUGAAGUAACAAAUGCCCUGCUUCCAGGAAAAGCCUCUAAGCAUCAGGUAACA
Molecule: ribosomal RNA, 1486 nt
Filed under: Klebsiella quasipneumoniae
Lineage: Bacteria; Pseudomonadati; Pseudomonadota; Gammaproteobacteria; Enterobacterales; Enterobacteriaceae
Description: partial 23S ribosomal RNA
Rfam family: Bacterial large subunit ribosomal RNA
Source: RNAcentral